RNAcentral lists this ribosomal RNA (253 nucleotides) under uncultured bacterium. RNAcentral's name for it is "partial 16S ribosomal RNA". It matches the Rfam family "Bacterial small subunit ribosomal RNA", at positions 524 to 776 of the family's 1533-position model. The record is from RNAcentral.
UACGGGGGGGGCAAGCGUUGUUCGGAAUUACUGGGCGUAAAGGGCUCGUAGGCGGCCAACUAAGUCAUACGUGAAAUCCCUCGGCUUAACCGGGGAACUGCGUCUGAUACUGGAUGGCUUGAGUUCGGGAGAGGGAUGCGGAAUUCCAGGUGUAGCGGUGAAAUGCGUAGAUAUCUGGAGGAACAUCGGUGGCGAAGGCGGCAUCCUGGACCGGUAUUGACGCUGAGGCGCGAAAGCCAGGGGAGCAAACGGG